RNAcentral lists this unclassified non-coding RNA (184 nucleotides) under Acidothermus cellulolyticus 11B. RNAcentral's name for it is "RNA component of RNaseP". It matches the Rfam family "Bacterial RNase P class A", at positions 60 to 233 of the family's 367-position model. From Rfam's summary of the family: Ribonuclease P (RNase P) is a ubiquitous endoribonuclease, found in archaea, bacteria and eukarya as well as chloroplasts and mitochondria. Its best characterised activity is the generation of mature 5'-ends of tRNAs by cleaving the 5'-leader elements of precursor-tRNAs. Lineage: Bacteria; Bacillati; Actinomycetota; Actinomycetes; Acidothermales; Acidothermaceae. The record is from RNAcentral.
CACAGGGCAGGGUGGUGGGUAACACCCACCCGGGGCGACCCGCGGGAUAGUGCCACAGAAAACAGACCGCCGCGCAGCCGGCGCCUGCCGCUGCGCGGUAAGGGUGAAACGGCGGUGUAAGAGACCACCAGCGCCCGGGGUGACCCGGGCGGCUCGGCAAACCCCACCCGGAGCAAGGUCAAGA